Molecule: microRNA precursor, 76 nt
Filed under: Myotis lucifugus (little brown bat)
Lineage: Eukaryota; Metazoa; Chordata; Mammalia; Chiroptera; Vespertilionidae
Description: mir-9229 microRNA precursor family
Rfam family: mir-9229 microRNA precursor family
Source: Rfam by way of RNAcentral
GAGACACCUUUAUGGAGCAAGCUUUGCUUCAGUGGGGCUUUGGUGCUCACUGAGUCUGCCCCCUGAGUGUGUCCCU